CUUGCUUCUCUGAUGUUAGCGGCGGACGGGUGAGUAACACGUGGAUAACCUACCUAUAAGACUGGGAUAACUUCGGGAAACCGGAGCUAAUACCGGAUAAUAUUUUGAACCGCAUGGUUCAAAAGUGAAAGACGGUCUUGCUGUCACUUAUAGAUGGAUCCGCGCUGCAUUAGCUAGUUGGUAAGGUAACGGCUUACCAAGGCAACGAUGCAUAGCCGACCUGAGAGGGUGAUCGGCCACACUGGAACUGAGACACGGUCCAGACUCCUACGGGAGGCAGCAGUAGGGAAUCUUCCGCAAUGGGCGAAAGCCUGACGGAGCAACGCCGCGUGAGUGAUGAAGGUCUUCGGAUCGUAAAACUCUGUUAUUAGGGAAGAACAUAUGUGUAAGUAACUGUGCACAUCUUGACGGUACCUAAUCAGAAAGCCACGGCUAACUACGUGCCAGCAGCCGCGGUAAUACGUAGGUGGCAAGCGUUAUCCGGAAUUAUUGGGCGUAAAGCGCGCGUAGGCGGUUUUUUAAGUCUGAUGUGAAAGCCCACGGCUCAACCGUGGAGGGUCAUUGGAAACUGGAAAACUUGAGUGCAGAAGAGGAAAGUGGAAUUCCAUGUGUAGCGGUGAAAUGCGCAGAGAUAUGGAGGAACACCAGUGGCGAAGGCGACUUUCUGGUCUGUAACUGACGCUGAUGUGCGAAAGCGUGGGGAUCAAACAGGAUUAGAUACCUGGUAGUCCACGCCGUAAACGAUGAGUGCUAAGUGUUAGGGGGUUUCCGCCCCUUAGUGC
This 782-nucleotide ribosomal RNA is filed under the name uncultured Staphylococcus sp. RNAcentral's name for it is "bacterial SSU rRNA". It matches the Rfam family "Bacterial small subunit ribosomal RNA", at positions 79 to 846 of the family's 1533-position model. The record is from RNAcentral. Lineage: Bacteria; Bacillati; Bacillota; Bacilli; Caryophanales; Staphylococcaceae.